RNAcentral lists this unclassified non-coding RNA (240 nucleotides) under soil metagenome. RNAcentral describes it as "partial contains 5.8S ribosomal RNA, internal transcribed spacer 2, and large subunit ribosomal RNA". The record is from RNAcentral.
AACAAGGCGUACCUGCGGACCUGCGGAGGGAUCAUUACACAUAUAAAGUAUGCCUGGGAAAAUUCGAAAGAAAAGUACCCAGGCGUAUUCUUAUACCCAUGUCUUUUGCGUACUACUUGUUUCCUUGGUGGGCUUGCCUGCCAUUAGGACACCCCUACAAACCUUUUGUAAUUGCAGUCAGCGUCAAAAAAUAACGUAAUCGUUACAACUUUCAACAACGGAUCUCAGAUCGGAAGAGCA